CAGCCCGGCGCCGGGGGCAAGGCUCGCCAGAAAGCGGGGACCUCCCGGGUGACCACAAAUUCAUCGUACUUCUGUGCCAACAAUAUUGAUCAUCAACGCCUGACAGAGAAAACCCUACACAAGAAUUCCCCGCCGUCAAAGAAGAGUUGAGACCUCAUCCUCUUUAAGGAAGUGUUGAACCACUUCUGAUAUGUGGGAGUGCAUGGAGGAGGCCUCGGUGAUGCUCACUUGAAAUUCGACUCAAGCACUUGAUGUCUUGCUCUACAGCAAUGGUGCACCAGGGCUAAAGACCAGCAUCCUGGCAUUCCUCAUCGUGCCAGCUGGAUGUAAGUCUCAUGGGAAGC
This is a long non-coding RNA of Gymnogyps californianus (California condor), 344 nucleotides long. RefSeq lists it as uncharacterized. The transcript is spliced from 3 exons. The record is from RefSeq and is a predicted model, not a curated record. NCBI's taxonomy places the organism in Eukaryota, Metazoa, Chordata, Aves, Accipitriformes, Cathartidae.